GUCUUAUUGACCUUAAGGAAAAAAUCCGUUUUCCAUGCAAUACACACCAUGCAAGCACAAGAUAAGCAGAAUAUAGAUUGAUGUAUUUUCUAUUCCCAAUAUUACAUUUGGUUGCACACAUCUGAUGUAUAAUUACCAUUUUUCUUGACACUAGAAAUUUGGGAUGCACUUCAUGCCGCUGUUGAUGCUGAUCUAACACUCGCGCAAGCAAUUGUGGACAGUGCAGGGAUCAUUGUUCAAAGUGCCGAUUUGACAGUAUGCUAUGAUGAAAGAGGUGCAAAAUAUGAAAUACCAAAAUAUGUUUUGAGUGAGCCUACAAACUUGAUCCAGGACAGCUGAAAAACUGGAACCAACGUAGCACUUGUGUGUAAGGGACCGGAUGUAGAUCGUGUAUAUCAUUCUCUUUAAAAAUCUUUAACCAAGUCUGGUUCACCUUUAUGCCAUUUAAGUCGGCUUGACCUUUUGCUGUAGGUUUGUUGAUAUCAAACUCACAGGAACCAUUUGUUUUUGCUCUUUUGAAACAUUUUCUGCAAUCACAUAGCGGGCAAUUAGUUCUUGGGCU
Camellia sinensis is the source of this 562-nucleotide non-coding RNA. Lineage: Eukaryota; Viridiplantae; Streptophyta; Magnoliopsida; Ericales; Theaceae. The record is from RefSeq and is a predicted model, not a curated record.